AGCUUACCAGUGAUGUCUAAAAAUAAAUGUCUGAACAAAUGACUGUCCAGUGAUAACAGGUUUGAACUGAGGUAAGCC
Molecule: small nucleolar RNA, 78 nt
Organism: Cyprinus carpio carpio
Lineage: Eukaryota; Metazoa; Chordata; Actinopteri; Cypriniformes; Cyprinidae
Source: Ensembl